RNAcentral lists this unclassified non-coding RNA (232 nucleotides) under Moritella viscosa. RNAcentral's name for it is "putative sRNA". Lineage: Bacteria; Pseudomonadati; Pseudomonadota; Gammaproteobacteria; Alteromonadales; Moritellaceae. The record is from RNAcentral.
AUUCGAGAAAAAUAAAGGGAAUGAGAUAUACAUCAAGGAAUGAAGUGAUCAGAAUUUCUAAUAUGUGGAUUAAAGUAUGUUUUUGGUGCUAUUUUUAUUUAGUAAAAGGAAAUAACUUUGUGAGUAGAGCGAUACUUGAAGCAGCGAUCGGUUGGAAUAAUCACUAUUUAUUAUUUCUAAGGUAAAAGCCGGUAUUGAAAUAACAAUGCCGGCUUUAUAAAUAACUAAAUUA